AUUUAUAUAAUAUAUAAAGUAUAUUUGACUUCCAAUCAAAAAGUCUAAUUUUUAGUAUAAAUA
Molecule: transfer RNA, 63 nt
Filed under: Ctenochauliodes griseus
Lineage: Eukaryota; Metazoa; Arthropoda; Insecta; Megaloptera; Corydalidae
Description: tRNA-Gly
Source: RNAcentral